GACGAACGCUGGCGGCGUGCCUAAUACAUGCAAGUAGAACGCUGAAGAGAGGAGCUUGCUCUUCUUGGAUGAGUUGCGCACGGGUGAGUAACGCGUAGGUAACCUGCCUUGUAGCGGGGGAUAACUAUUGGAAACGAUAGCUAAUACCGCAUAACAAUGGAUGACACAUGUCAUUUAUUUGAAAGGGGCAAUUGUUCCACUACAAGAUGGACCUGCGUUGCAUUAGCUAGUAGGUGAGGUAAUGGCUCACCUAGGCGACGAUACAUAGCCGACCUGAGAGGGUGAUCGGCCACACUGGGACUGAGACACGGCCCAGACUCCUACGGGAGGCAGCAGUAGGGAAUCUUCGGCAAUGGGGGCAACCCUGACCGAGCAACGCCGCGUGAGUGAAGAAGGUUUUCGGAUCGUAAAGCUCUGUUGUAAGUCAAGAACGGGUGUGAGAGUGGAAAGUUCACACUGUGACGGUAGCUUACCAGAAAGGGACGGCUAACUACGUG
This 497-nucleotide ribosomal RNA is filed under the name uncultured bacterium. RNAcentral describes it as "partial 16S ribosomal RNA". It matches the Rfam family "Bacterial small subunit ribosomal RNA", at positions 28 to 507 of the family's 1533-position model. The record is from RNAcentral.